UGUGUGUGUGUGUGUGUGUGUGUGUGUGUAAGAUACACACAGCGACGCACACACACACACAUAUA
Molecule: non-coding RNA, 65 nt
Organism: Podarcis lilfordi (Lilford's wall lizard)
Lineage: Eukaryota; Metazoa; Chordata; Lepidosauria; Squamata; Lacertidae
Source: the annotation of a GenBank genome assembly